GGGCAAUUGGUUUAGUGGUAUAAUUUUCCCUUAGCACUUCGGUUGCCUCUCUAGUAAUCGAACCCUGUGAAUAAGCUGGGAAAGGUCCUGGGUUCGAUUCCCAGAUUGUCCA
Molecule: non-coding RNA, 112 nt
Organism: Didymella exigua CBS 183.55
Lineage: Eukaryota; Fungi; Ascomycota; Dothideomycetes; Pleosporales; Didymellaceae
Source: the annotation of a RefSeq genome assembly